Molecule: ribosomal RNA, 440 nt
Filed under: uncultured bacterium
Lineage: Bacteria
Description: partial 16S ribosomal RNA
Rfam family: Bacterial small subunit ribosomal RNA
Source: RNAcentral
CCUACGGGUGGCAGCAGUGGGGAAUAUUGCACAAUGGGGGAAACCCUGAUGCAGCGACGCCGCGUGAGUGAAGAAGUCAUUCGUUAUGUAAAGCUCUAUCAGCAGGGGAGAAACUGACGGUACCUGAGUAAGAAGCCCCGGCUAACCACGGGCCAGCAGCCGCGGUAAUACGUAGGGGGCAAGCGUUAUCCGGAUUUACUGGGUGUAAAGGGAGCGUAGGCGGGAGUGCAAGUCUGGAGGGAAAGGCGGGGGCUCAACCCCCGGACUGCCCUGGAAACUGUACGGCUGGAGUGCAGGAGAGGUAAGUGGAAUGCGUGGUGUAGCGGUGAAAUGCGUAGAUAUUAGGAGGAACACCAGUGGCGAAGGCGGCUUACUGGACUGUAACUGACGUUGAGGCUCGAAAGCGUGGGGAGCAAACGGGAUUAGAUACCCGGGUAGUC